Molecule: long non-coding RNA, 331 nt
Organism: Macrosteles quadrilineatus (aster leafhopper)
Lineage: Eukaryota; Metazoa; Arthropoda; Insecta; Hemiptera; Cicadellidae
Exons: 2
Source: RefSeq, a predicted model, not a curated record
AUCUUACUUCAGCACUGCACUUCAUAGGCUCUACAUUUUACAGCAUGAAGCUCCGCUGUUUGAUUUUUGUGUUUUCACUUCUUGUCAUAGCAUGCUGUUUGGCUGCUGGUGACUCUUCUGUUGACCGACUAGCGCCCGGUGGUCCAGAUCCUCAACACCACGGUCACCCAGGAGUUUACAGCAUCUCUUCUGAUGGAGUUGCUCCAAACCGACUAUCCCCCGGAGGUCCAGACCCACAUCAUCAUCGCUAAAGUGGAUCCCCAGCAUGUGUUAGGCUAACAAACCAGUUUAAACACUUAUUUUAUGAAUUAAUAAAUUUAAAACAACUUAA